Equus caballus (horse) is the source of this 1809-nucleotide long non-coding RNA. Lineage: Eukaryota; Metazoa; Chordata; Mammalia; Perissodactyla; Equidae. The record is from Ensembl.
CCUUUUUCUCCCCAAAGCUCCCUCGUACAUAGUUGUAAUAUUCUUCAUUGUGGGUCCUUCUAGUUGUGGCAUGUGGGACGCUGCCUCAGCGUGGUCUGAUGAGCAGUGCCAUGUCCGCGCCCAGGAUUCGAACUAACGAAACACUGGGCCGCCUGCAGUGGAGCGCGCGAACUUAAACACUCGGCCACGGGGCCAGCCCCCUAGGGCAUCGUUUCUUGCCAGUGAGAGCACACCCCUUCUUUGUUGGCUAAGGUGAACUCUGAGCCAUGUGAUUCUCUAGCACCUUACCUCAAUGACUGUCCUCUCAGUGAGCAGAAUUAGAGAAGUUUAGCCUGAUUGUUACCUUAUUUUAAUAGUUUUUUGUCUUUCUGAGAUUGUGUAUAACCUCACUUGGGCAUGUUAUUUCCCUAAACUGUUGUGCUUCCAGAUGUGACUGUUUCCCCCCCGGGAAGUAUUGGAAGAUACAAAGCAAGGCCACAUGUGUUUGACCAUGAGUGUGCGUGAGCUCAACAAAUGAACUGGUGUCUUAGAAAACUAUCAUACUCUCUGUCUUAAAGUCACAAAUUACAGCUGGAGAUUUCACCCAAAAUCAAAAUGCCAGGUAGCAUUUUUUGUACAUCCUAGGAUAAGCAGCUCACUUCCCAUCAACACAGUACAAGAAUUCAAGGACACCAAUUGUGAAACGUAAGUUUGCAGCCUGAUCUUGAAAAAGAGUAAUAUCUAAAUGAGUUGGCAAGAGGAAACCAGUUGGUUGAUUAAGAUAAGAGCAAACGAUGCCUGUGAACAAAAAAUCACCACUGCCUUAGUUUGCCAGCUAUUAGAAGUGCCUAAAUACUGGAAUUCCAUUAGCUAGCAUCAAGAGAGAAGAGCAGGUACAAACCAGAAAUUCUGAAAAGGGUGGAAAGAUAAUGAAUGUUAACAAAUGAAAUAUGGAGCAUACAAUGUCUUGUCUCUACAUGUAAUUAAGAAUAUGUGUAAAAUUGAUCACAGAUUAAGAUAUGUUUGUUUGAAACAGUCUAAACAGUAUGUUCACAUAAAGUAGAUUUUAGUAAAAGGAUUAUAUAUUUAAAUCACCUGUUUUUAAGUUUUUAUGGAUAUUUUUAGUCUUCAUGAAACAUAGUUUAUAGUUUGAGAUAGUUUUCUGUGGUUUGGGAAAGCUAUUCUAUUUGUUAUUCUCUCUCUACCCCUUAACCCCAUCCUUCAGAUUAUUUUUAUAAUUCCCAAGAAUUUGCAAACUUGCUCUUUCAUGUAUUUUCUGAAAAUGUGAAAAGUGUUAAAAGUUUGUGUUUUCAGUGCCUUAGGAAAUACAUAGGAAUACAUUUUUUUAAAACUGUGUGCCCAAAUCAGCAUUUCGCAAAGUGUGACAUGAUCUGUUUAUAGGUGUUAGGUGAAAAAGAUGCAGUUACAUAAUUUUGUGAAAUGCCAAGUUAAGCAAAGUUAAAGUUCUUUUCUAUAAGACUCUCAAGGCCUUCAGUAUUCUCCUGUGUUGUCCUCUGGGUAUAUCCUAUUUUCCAAAUGUACCUGCCCUUCUUAUAGGAUUGGUAUUCCAUGGAAAAUACUGAGAAUUGCUGGUCUAAACAUUGUUAAAAAUUAAACACAGCUGUCUAAAAUAAAAGGUGCCCCAAUCCUUUCCUAGAGUGUGAGCUCCUUGAGGGCAGGGACCCCUACUUAGUCUUGUAAUCCCAUAUGGCAUAUAACCAAUAUAAUGUUCAGGAUAUAUUAUUGAAUGAGUUAAUGUAAAUCUAAUAACUCUUGAAAGUUUGUUUUUAAAGGCAAGCCUAAUUAAAUUAAGCUUCUGAUUUGCUAAAG